GAUUAACGCUAGCGGCAGGCCUAAUACAUGCAAGUCGAACGGUAAAUAGUGUAGCAAUACAUUAUGAGAGUGGCGCACGGGUGAGUAACGCGUAUGCAACCUACCUUUAACUGGGGGAUAGCCUUCCGAAAGGAAGAUUAAUACCGCAUAAAAUUAUGAAGUGGCAUCACUUUAUAAUCAAAACUCCGGUGGUUAAAGAUGGGCAUGCGUGACAUUAGCUAGUUGGUGAGGUAACGGCUCACCAAGGCGACGAUGUCUAGGGGGUCUGAGAGGAUGAUCCCCCACACUGGUACUGAGACACGGACCAGACUCC
This 313-nucleotide ribosomal RNA is filed under the name uncultured bacterium. RNAcentral's name for it is "bacterial SSU rRNA". It matches the Rfam family "Bacterial small subunit ribosomal RNA", at positions 28 to 339 of the family's 1533-position model. The record is from RNAcentral.